Molecule: RNA transcript, 3016 nt
Organism: Hordeum vulgare subsp. vulgare (domesticated barley)
Lineage: Eukaryota; Viridiplantae; Streptophyta; Magnoliopsida; Poales; Poaceae
Gene name: protein FAR1-RELATED SEQUENCE 5-like
Exons: 6
Source: RefSeq, a predicted model, not a curated record
CCCAUCCCUUCACACACACCCCGCAGCCACCUUCCCCCCACACCCUGCGCGCAGCUAGCUGGAGCCAUGGAUGGUCUUGAGUUCUUCUACGAGCAAGCAAGAUCCAGGCUGAUCCCCAGGAUCGAUGCAGGUGAUAUUUUGGCUGGCGAGAUCGAAGGCGUCGAGUUUGUGAUUGCUUCGAUCCAGGAAUGUCGUGAGCGCCCACCUGCUGCGCUAUCUUUUCUGAACCAUGAGUGGUGGCAGCAGUGAAGAGAAAAUCCGAGAUGAGUGCGAAAGUGAGGUCAUUGUUGACUCUAACGAUGCGGCUCAUCUGUCCGCGCCCGUUGAACAUGUGGUAGAAGAUGGAGAUGCAGAGGGUGUCGUCGUCAACAACUCAAAUGGCUCGUGCUGGACUCGGCGGUAAUACGCGCACAUCCCAAGUCUGUGUCUUUUCCUCUUUUUUGUGCUUUAGUGCAGCGAUGCUACCCAUGCUUAGGAUUGUCCAAUUUUUUUGCAUUUGCACCCUGCACAUGAUACCUUGUUCUCAAAAGGAUCCUCGUAUUUGUCUCUGUAUGUCCUAUCACAAAAAAAUGUUGAUGUGCAUUACGGAAAAACAAACCCCUGCAGUGUUAGGAUUGGGAAAGCUUCGGAAGAGAGGGAUGCAAACCCAAUCAGAGUACCUGCGCUGGAGGCUUCUAUGCGAGCUUACGCAGACAAUAAUGCUGGUACUGUCGUUAAUCCGGCACUCGGGACUAGCUUUGAUUCUGUUGAAGAAGCAUACGAGUUUUACAACCUGUACUCUUGGGAGUGUGGGUUUGGCAUUAGGGUAGGCCGUUGCAAGCGAACAGUCGCUCGACGAGGUCUCGCUGCUUAGCACUGAUGUGUGUGCUUAGGUCAGAGGACAAAGGUUGGUACAUAUGCGAGCACAAAGCAGACCACAACCAUGCGCCGUCGGUCAACUGUAUGGAGAAAUUGCACUGGAAGUCGCACCGGCAUAUAGAUAGGUACACAAGGGACCUAAUGAAACAACUUAGGGAGAACAAUAUAAGCCUGAGCAAGAUUUACAGCGUAGUGGGAAGUUUUUUCGGAUCUGUGAAGCAGGUGCCAUUCACAAAAAGGUCUCUGAAAACUCUGUGUGGAAAACUUAGCAGAGAGCAGUCGGAAAAUGAUGCCACAAAAACAAUAGAGGUGUUCAAUGCAAUGCGAGCUGAAGAUCCUGAGUUCAAAUAUAGUGUACAGGUUGAUGAUGAUAGUCGGGUGAAGACUUUGAUGUGGACAACAGGGCGGAGCAUCGAGCAAUUUAAGUGUUUUGGUGAUGCUGUCACAUUUGAUACGACGUACAAAACAAACUUAUAUGAUAUGCCGUUUGGUCUAUUUGUUGGUGUCAACAAUCACUUCCAGAGCAUUAUUUUUGGUGGGUUGCUGAUGAACGACGAGAAAAUCAACACUUUCAAAUGGAUAUUCACGGAAUUCUUUCAGAUGAUAGGUGCUCCGCAACCACGGACAAUGCUCACAGACCAAGCCCGUGCAAUGGAGGUUGCAAUAGACGAUGUCAUGAAACAUACAACCCAUCGAUGGUGCACAUGGCAUGUCGUGAAAAAGCAAAAGAGUGUCUCGGACCACUGCUCGGCAAAGGAAGUGAAUUCAAACAGGAGUUCAACAAGAUGGUGCACCACGUUGUUAGUGAGAAAGAGUUUGAGGAUGGUUGGGAGUGUAUGGUUGAGAGGCAUGGUCUACAGAAAAAUACGUUUCUCACCCAGAUAUAUGAGAUGCGAAGGAAGUGGGCUAAGCCAUAUUUUAUGGAUGUCUUCUGUGCGAAGAUGACCAGCACACAACGGAGUGAGAGUGCAAACCAUUUGCUUAAAGGAUAUGUUCCACCAGGGUCCCCGAAGCAUUUAUUUGUCAGACAAUACGAGAAGAUGCAAUUUGAUAGAGAUUCAGAGGAGAGUUAUCAGGAGAAGAGAACAAAGCUGGGAGGUGUUAUCCUGGCACAGAACCUCCCAAUUGAGAUACAUGCAUCCCAAAUUUACACGAGGGCCAUGUUUGAAAAAUUCGGGGAGAUGUUGUACGAGGGUGGCUCGUAUGUCCUCACUGAAGUUGUGGCUCGGCGUGAGUACAUUGCCGUGCAUGUGAAGAAAGUUUCGAGGGACAAAUGGUCAAAAAAUGAAUUUCUUGUCCGUGUGAACGAACCUGCUGACGAAUUCAACUGCGAAUGUGGGAUGUUUGAACAUUUUGGCAUGGUGUGCAGCCAUGCGUUGAAGGUCAUGAUCCACCUUGGUCUGCAAGAGGUCCCUGCCAAGCAUGUGCUGAAGCGUUGGACAAAGGAUGCAAGGGAUAUACUACCUCCAGAGUUCCUACGUUACCAGAAAGAUCAGGGUCCUCUCAAGUACUCUUCCGGCGACAUAACAAUCUGCAUCUCCUUUGCCUUGAAAUUGUUAGGCUGGGCGACAGCAAUGUGGAUGCUUAUGCUAUUGCCAUGGAACAUCUGAGGGAUGUCAAGACAUUGCUGCAGCCGGUUGCUGCUAUACGCGACGGCAUGGGCUUAUCUGAUAGAGAGGGUGCCGGUGAUUCUUCAUGUUCUGGUACAGUACAAAAGCAACACUUUGGUGCGGCCCAUCAGGUGCAGAGCUCAUCGCAAUGCUCGGAUAGCUUUGGAGCACCCUCAAAAAAGAGGUUAGCAGGGCGGCCAACGACAAGCCGGGACAAAGCGCCAUAUGAACAACCAGCUAAGAGGACUCGGUUUUGUUCAAUAUGCCGUGGGCAAGGGCACAAAAGCACUACAUGCCCCCAACAUGGCGAUCUCCCAAAGGCUCCGAGGAAGUCUCCUCGGUGCUCAAGGUGCAGCCUGACAGGACACAGAAGGAACACCUGCACCAACACAUCAAGAGCAGAUUUCUAUGGUUGAUGUUUUGUUUUGGAUUUUAUGCUUCAUAUAUGCUACCAUGCAACUCGUAUAAACUGUUUGCGGAUUUUAGUUAAUCUAUCUGUUUGUGGUACUAUUGUUUGUAUAUGUAGCUUGGAAUGUCUUGUUUUAAAA